RNAcentral lists this ribosomal RNA (460 nucleotides) under uncultured bacterium. RNAcentral's name for it is "partial 16S ribosomal RNA". It matches the Rfam family "Bacterial small subunit ribosomal RNA", at positions 338 to 795 of the family's 1533-position model. The record is from RNAcentral.
CCUACGGGAGACAGCAGUGAGGAAUAUUGGUCAAUGGACGAGAGUCUGAACCAGCCAAGUAGCGUGAAGGAUGACUGCCCUAUGGGUUGUAAACUUCUUUUAUAUGGGAAUAAAAUGUUCCACGUGUGGGAUUUUGUAUGUACCAUAUGAAUAAGGAUCGGCUAACUCCGUGCCAGCAGCCGCGGUAAUACGGAGGAUCCGAGCGUUAUCCGGCUUUAUUGGGUUUAAAGGGAGCGUAGGUGGAUUGUUAAGUCAGUUGUGAAAGUUUGCGGCUCAACCGUAAAAUUGCAGUUGAAACUGGCAGUCUUGAGUACAGUAGAGGUGGGCGGAAUUCGUGGUGUAGCGGUGAAAUGCUUAGAUAUCACGAAGAACUCCGAUUGCGAAGGCAGUUCACUGGACUGCAACUGACACUGAGGCUCGAAAGUGUGGGUAUCAAACAGGAUUAGAUACCCCUGUAGUC